UACGUAGGGGGCUAGCGUUGUCCGGAUUUAUUGGGCGUAAAGAGCGUGUAGGCGGCCAGGUAGGUCUGCUGUGAAAACUCGAGGCUCAACCUCGAGACGUCGGCGGAAACCAUCUGGCUAGAGUCCGGAAGAGGAGAGUGGAAUUCCUGGUGUAGCGGUGGAAUGCGCAGAUAUCAGGAGGAACACCAAUAGCGAAGGCAGCUCGCUGGGACGGUAUUGACGCUAAGGCGCGAAAGCCAGGGGAGCAAACGGG
RNAcentral lists this ribosomal RNA (253 nucleotides) under uncultured bacterium. Its description in RNAcentral is "partial 16S ribosomal RNA". It matches the Rfam family "Bacterial small subunit ribosomal RNA", at positions 524 to 776 of the family's 1533-position model. The record is from RNAcentral.